AAAGACACACCAAUCCAUCUUCUCCACAAAACUCUUGUUACCAUACUUUUCCACCCGUCCUGUUGCGGCACCUUUUCUCUUCAGAUCCACCACCACUCCCUGCCCCCGACCUUAUUAGUAAAGAGAGAGAUCAUUUUCAAAGGCCGCCAAGGGAAACCAGGCAGGCAGGCCCGCCGUAUUCCACGGUCGAAUCUGGAACGCCGACCCGGGCCAUGGAAUCACUUGGCACCCGGGGGCAUCGGUUCAAAAACCCCGCAACGUUUGCGCCAGCGGUGGCGGCACCCUGGGGCUCGGUGCGAAUCCGAGGGAGAGCGGAGAAAAAGGGAUUUUUCAGUCCAUUUCGUUGCUGUUGCUGAAUCGGAUAGUGAAGAACACAUCACGGUAGACGCGGUUGCCCAUAGGUGGCGCCCUUCUCGCCUAAAACCACAUCUCCUGUGUAUUUUAAUAACCCGCCCGCCAUGCUGUUUGAUUGGUGCGUUUGCCUGUCGCUCCCAAAGCCAAGGAAGCGACCUACUGUACUGUAGAGGGGAAGUGAUUCAAGAUGGCGGUGCCCUUGCAGCUCGUGAGGCGGCGUUUGCUGUUGUCGCGACCUCUGAACCCAAAUCUUUAAAGAUCGUAGUGACCAUUUUGCAGAAUAUGAAAGAAGAAAAGCAAAGGGAGAAUCUCAGUGACAGCUGUAAAUGAGAAUGCAAAAAGGGGAAGAUAUGAUCCAUAUAAGUUUGAAUACUCUCCAGUGAGAUAAUCAUGCUUAAAAUACACCACUGGCUGUUCAAUCUACUCUUUACUAAUCUUCAUUGAAAUAAAACAGUGAAAAAGUGGAAGUUGCUCA
This 829-nucleotide long non-coding RNA is filed under the name Pogona vitticeps (central bearded dragon). RNAcentral's name for it is "lncRNA (ENSPVIG00000021502.1)". The record is from RNAcentral. Lineage: Eukaryota; Metazoa; Chordata; Lepidosauria; Squamata; Agamidae.